UACUACGGCGACACCACCCUGAACAAGCCCGAUCCCUUCUGGUUUCAGAAGCUAAGCAGGGUCAGGCCUCGUUAGUACUUGGAUGGGAGACUACCUAGGAAGACCAGGUGCCAUAGGCG
RNAcentral lists this ribosomal RNA (119 nucleotides) under Pteropus alecto (black flying fox). Lineage: Eukaryota; Metazoa; Chordata; Mammalia; Chiroptera; Pteropodidae. The record is from RNAcentral.